Neotoma lepida (desert woodrat) is the source of this 206-nucleotide long non-coding RNA. It matches the Rfam family "DLG2 antisense RNA 1 conserved region 1". NCBI's taxonomy places the organism in Eukaryota, Metazoa, Chordata, Mammalia, Rodentia, Cricetidae. The record is from Rfam.
UUAACUUGUUAAAUCAUAAAAAAAUUCUUUCCAAAAAAGUAUACUGGAAACAUGUGGAUGCAGGGUUAUAAUUAAAAAGGAAAGCAAAACGGCCUUCCCACAAAGCAGAGAAACCCUCAACUCAAUGCUACAGCUGAGGCCAUGGGAGUAAAAAUGGGGGUAUGCUGAAAAGCCUUGAAAUGUGGACACUAUCACUGACCAUGUGG